Mangifera indica (mango) is the source of this 1002-nucleotide long non-coding RNA. RefSeq lists it as uncharacterized. Lineage: Eukaryota; Viridiplantae; Streptophyta; Magnoliopsida; Sapindales; Anacardiaceae. The transcript is spliced from 3 exons. The record is from RefSeq and is a predicted model, not a curated record.
GUUUCUGUAUGUGCCUUUCCUUUUAAUUAGGCUAAGAUAAAUAAAUAGAAUCCCCGUCUUCAUCUUGUUUUUAUUUACUUGUAUUCAUUUAGACUCCAAAAUCGAAUAUAUUCAGCAGCUUCAUGGGCUUGGUUGGAAGGUAGGCCGCCGCGCCCAUUCACUGUUUCACAUUUUAGUUACUACUCGGACGGGCUUGGGGCACAGAAUGUUGGCGGAAGGCUGAGCAUGGCCAGACAGUCAAGUCGUUCUUGUCAUUGCUUGAUCUAAAAGCUGUUGAAGCAGAAAUCAGUAAGCAGUGUGAAGACCUUCCAAGAGGAGAGUUUGCUUCAAAAUCCCUUAGCCACAGUUACACAGUGUUUGCUCGUGAUAUGAUGGAGGUUAAGUGAGUUGUGGCUAGGUACAAUAGCAUAAAUGUCAUGCACCUAAUAUUUACCUUUCCAGAUUUUCACUCUGGCUAGCCUCUCCAAUUUUAAUUUCUUGCAACAAGUCCACAAUUUUUGGGCUUUUCAGUUACACUCAUGCAGUGUUUUUGAGGAUCCGUGACAGAAGCCUCAGUUACUAUAAUAUAAAGUGUUUCAAAUUUGUGCUUGGAAAAUCUUGAAACGAUAAUGAUUUUCAGAAUUUGUAUGAAAGAUGUGAUAUUGAUUUUAUUUUUUCUUCUUCUUUUUGGUAUAUGACAAUCCUUGAUAGUGGAAGGUCUGAAAAAGUUUGGUCCAUAUGUUGCAACGAUGGCGGAAGUGGAAGGCUUGGAAGCCCACAAGAGAGCGUUAACUCUUAGAUUGCAAGACAUUGGAGCCAGGCAAGUUGCAAAUAUAAGUUAGGCUCCUUUCGUUUGUAUUUGUUUUCUGAUUUUUUUUUUUCGAAAACAGCCUGUCAUGUUCUCUCACUUUGCAAAAUUUGUGUUAUUGCUAUUACUGUUGGAACUUUGUUUGUUGUAACAUGAUAUAGAUCUCAAAAUCUCAAUGCCUGAUCAAUACAAUCUUUUAGAGACGAGUUUAGUUA